This 715-nucleotide unclassified non-coding RNA is filed under the name Hevea brasiliensis (rubber tree). The record is from RNAcentral. Lineage: Eukaryota; Viridiplantae; Streptophyta; Magnoliopsida; Malpighiales; Euphorbiaceae.
CAGAGGGAGAAGGCAGAGAUCCAAAUGGAUGCAAGGCAAUUCAAGCGUUUUGCAGAGGAGAAGAUGGCUCAUGACCAACAGGAGCUUUUGGCUUUUGAGGAUAUACUGUAUAAGAGAGAACAAACCAUUCAAUCACUCAGUUGUGAGGUGCAGGCUUAUAAAUAUAGGAUGAUGAGUUAUGGGCUUACAGAAGCAGAGGCAGAGGGGGAGAAGGGUGAGAAAAGUGGGUUUAGCCGCAAUCCAAGUAUGGCUGAAAAUUUGGAUGCUGCCCAAUUUGAAUUUCCAGCAUACAAUUAUCCACCCUUAAAAUGCAAUUUGAAUGAGAACCCAAGUGCUUUGGAGGGCGAUGAUGAUGUUGUGGAUGUUGAGAAGUAUGCUUUUGGUGAGACUCCUCAUGCUCGGGAUCAUUUGAAGAAUUUGGAAUAUAGGAUCAAUCAGAUGGAGCAAAGUCCUAGUAGCAGUCAAUUAGAUGGGGAGUCUUCUGGUUCUAAGAAUAUCCCAGAGAAGGUGAUAGUGGGUCAUUCUCCCAGGCAACCAAGAGACAGGAUGUUUUCUGCUAAUGGUUCGGGUUCAUUCAUGGGUAUGUCAAGAGAAACAGGUCCAGAUCUUGUGACAGAAUCUCCUAGUUUUAGGUUCAAUAAUAGCUUUAAGAAGAUGGAUUAUGUUUCACAGUCAGAAGACUACUCGAAUUUGAGAAAGGUGGAUAAUGCAUCAG